This 495-nucleotide ribosomal RNA is filed under the name uncultured bacterium. RNAcentral's name for it is "partial 16S ribosomal RNA". It matches the Rfam family "Bacterial small subunit ribosomal RNA", at positions 355 to 837 of the family's 1533-position model. The record is from RNAcentral.
UGGGGAAUAUUGCACAAUGGGCGCAAGCCUGAUGCAGCCAUGCCGCGUGUGUGAAGAAGGCCUUCGGGUUGUAAAGCACUUUCAGCGAGGAGGAAGGUGGUGAACUUAAUACGUUCAUCAAUUGACGUUACUCGCAGAAGAAGCACCGGCUAACUCCGUGCCAAGCAGCCGCGGUAAUACGGAGGGUGCAAGCGUUAAUCGGAAUUACUGGGCGUAAAGCGCACGCAGGCGGGUUUGUUAAGUCAGAUGUGAAAUCCCCGGGCUCAACCUGGGAACUGCAUUUGAAACUGGCAAGCUAGAGUCUCGUAGAGGGGGGUAGAAUUCCAGGUGUAGCGGUGAAAUGCGUAGAGAUCUGGAGGAAUACCGGUGGCGAAGGCGGCCCCCCUGGACGAAGACUGACGCUCAGGUGUGAAAGCGUGGGGAGCAAACAGGAUUAGAUAACCCCUGGUAGUCCACGCUGUAAACGAUGUCGAUUUGGAGGUUGUGCCCUUGAGG